AAACAUUUAACAGCUGAGUGCGUAAUUAAUUUCACGAAAUGGAUAAGGCAUUGAACAUGUAUUCAAUUGAACUACAGCGCAACGCAAGUCGUAAAAGUAAAGUGUGGGAGUUUUUUGGUGUCUUGCAAGCUAAAGAAGAAAACAAGUUCAUCGAAGAAGACAAGGUUUUUUGCAAAUUGUGUUUGGAUGAACAGAAAAAAGAAGACGAAACAACAAUCAUUUCAUGUGCUAAAAUUCAAUCAUAUUCUAAGACAACUAAUUUCAAUUUCAAUCAAUUUCAAUGAAUCUCAAAACUGUCAAGUCAAGAAAAGACAAUGAAUCUCAAAACUGUCAAAUCAAGAAAAGACUGUUAUUUUGUUUUAAUUUUAGUUUAAGUUGUUAUUUCGCUUUACUUACUUAUUAAUUAUGAAGUCAAUAAUUUCAGUUUAAUUUGUUAUUUCGCUUAACUUACUUAUUAAUUAUCAAGUCAAGAAAAGACUCUUAUUUAGUUUU
This is a long non-coding RNA of Drosophila subpulchrella, 492 nucleotides long. RefSeq lists it as uncharacterized. The record is from RefSeq and is a predicted model, not a curated record. The transcript has 3 exons. NCBI's taxonomy places the organism in Eukaryota, Metazoa, Arthropoda, Insecta, Diptera, Drosophilidae.